This 73-nucleotide transfer RNA is filed under the name Perca flavescens (yellow perch). It matches the Rfam family "tRNA". From Rfam's summary of the family: Transfer RNA (tRNA) molecules are approximately 80 nucleotides in length. Their secondary structure includes four short double-helical elements and three loops (D, anti-codon, and T loops). Further hydrogen bonds mediate the characteristic L-shaped molecular structure. tRNAs have two regions of fundamental functional importance: the anti-codon, which is responsible for specific mRNA codon recognition, and the 3' end, to which the tRNAs corresponding amino acid is attached (by aminoacyl-tRNA synthetases). tRNAs cope with the degeneracy of the genetic code in two manners: having more than one tRNA (with a specific anti-codon) for a particular amino acid; and 'wobble' base-pairing, i.e. permitting non-standard base-pairing at the 3rd anti-codon position. Lineage: Eukaryota; Metazoa; Chordata; Actinopteri; Perciformes; Percidae. The record is from Rfam by way of RNAcentral.
GGGGAAUUGGCUCAAAUGGUAUAGUGCUCGCUUAGAAUGCAAGAGGUAGCAAGAUUGAUUCCUGCAUUCUCCA